GACGAACGCUGGCGGCGUGCCUAAUACAUGCAAGUAGAACGCAGUUGCGAACGGGGGAGUAACGCGUAGGUAACUACCUCAUAGCGGGGGAUAACUAUUGGAAACGAUAGCUAAUACCGCAUACAAGGAGCUGGACCUGCGUUGUAUUAGCUAGUUGGUGAGGUAACGGCAAACCAAGGCGACGAUAAAUAGCCGACCUGGGAGGGUGAUCGGCCACACGGGGACUGAGACACGGACCAGACUCGUACGGGAAGCAGCAGUAGGGAAUCUUUGGAAAUGGGCGGAAGUCUGAACGAACAACGCCGGGUGAUGGAAGAAGGUUUUCGGGUCGUAAAGCUAUGUUGUGAGAGAAGCGGUAACUAACCAGAAAGGGACGGCUAACUACGUGCCAGCAGCCGCGGUAAUUC
RNAcentral lists this ribosomal RNA (407 nucleotides) under uncultured bacterium. RNAcentral describes it as "partial 16S ribosomal RNA". It matches the Rfam family "Bacterial small subunit ribosomal RNA", at positions 28 to 526 of the family's 1533-position model. The record is from RNAcentral.